AUGCGGCGCGGCCGAAGAAGGGCAAAACAUCCGCGAAGAAGAACAAGGCGGCGGACGGCUCCGGCAACACGAAGGCAAGGGGAAAGAAGCUUGCAGGGCGUUCGACGGCCGCGGCGGCUGCCAAAGCGCCGGCGAGCUCACUCGUUGGGCCGGCCGCCGACGCGCACCACGUGUUCGACGAAAUGCCCCCAAGGUGAAAAAAAAUUCCAACUUUUCUUUUCUUGUUAUUUUUUCAAUGCAUCAUCACAUAUAGAUAGCUUAUUUGCAUUGUUCAAAAAACUUUGUAGUCUCAACGAUGAUGCAUACAUGUCAACUAUGGGUGUUGGGUCCAACAAUUCGCAUUGGUCUUAAACCAAUGACAUCCAUUUUGAAGACCAUGAGUUUGAGGUGGACGAGGAGGGUGAGGGCAUUGUCGAGGCGCCGAAAGGAAGAGCGGGCAAUUACACCACAAACGAUGACAAGUUACUAUGCUAUACUUAUUUGCAAGUGCCGAGGGAUCCAUUCAUUGGAGGUGAUCAAAGUAGAGACGCGUAUUGGGGGCGAAUGAAAGAACACUUUCAUGCUCACAACGUGAGUGGAAUUGACCGCUCCGAGAGCUCACUUCGGUCCCGAUGGUCGACAAUCAACUCGGAUUGUCAAAAGUGGGCGGCCGCAUAA
RNAcentral lists this ribosomal RNA (657 nucleotides) under Triticum aestivum (bread wheat). Its description in RNAcentral is "partial small subunit ribosomal RNA". Lineage: Eukaryota; Viridiplantae; Streptophyta; Magnoliopsida; Poales; Poaceae. The record is from RNAcentral.